This 220-nucleotide unclassified non-coding RNA is filed under the name Archaeosporaceae sp. Its description in RNAcentral is "partial contains 5.8S ribosomal RNA and internal transcribed spacer 2". The stretch from base 1 to 71 matches the Rfam family "5.8S ribosomal RNA", at positions 84 to 154 of the family's 154-position model. Lineage: Eukaryota; Fungi; Glomeromycota; Glomeromycetes; Archaeosporales; Archaeosporaceae. The record is from RNAcentral.
GUGAAUCAUCAAAUCUUUGAACGCAUAUUGCACUCUCUGGUAUUCCGGAGAGUAUGCCUGUUUGAGGGUAAUUAAAUAGAAUAUUUAACCAAUUUUUUUGGUUUAAGGAUAUGAGUUCUCCGCGUUUAUAGCGGUAGCUUGAAAUAUAUGGUCAAGUCCCAUUUUAGUCGAGACGCGUAUUAAUAUUAUUUCUCGAAAUCUUCAUUAUGUGACUAUCAAG